Girardinichthys multiradiatus is the source of this 244-nucleotide long non-coding RNA. RefSeq lists it as uncharacterized. Lineage: Eukaryota; Metazoa; Chordata; Actinopteri; Cyprinodontiformes; Goodeidae. The record is from RefSeq and is a predicted model, not a curated record. The transcript has 2 exons.
AGUUCUUGGAAGACCAAAUGUAGAAAAGAAUCUGGUCAUGGCAUUAAUGAUUGAACUAGCAGUGAUUUUACGGAGAGGAAUGGCUUCAGGGUAGCGAGUGGAAGCGCACAUUAAGGAAUUGGAUGGAGCGGAGCAUUUGGUAUGGUCUGGUUAGGCUUUCCAGCCAUCUGACAUAUGUGGCAACUGCGGCAGAAUUUAACCACAUCUGUUUUUAAUCCAGGCCAGUAAAAGUGUUUCAAAAUCA